RNAcentral lists this ribosomal RNA (495 nucleotides) under uncultured bacterium. Its description in RNAcentral is "partial 16S ribosomal RNA". It matches the Rfam family "Bacterial small subunit ribosomal RNA", at positions 28 to 507 of the family's 1533-position model. The record is from RNAcentral.
GACGAACGCUGGCGGCGUGCCUAAUACAUGCAAGUAGAACGCUGAAGGAGGAGCUUGCUCUUCUGGAUGAGUUGCGAACGGGUGAGUAACGCGUAGGUAACCUGCCUGGUAGCGGGGGAUAACUAUUGGAAACGAUAGCUAAUACCGCAUAACAGUAGAUGUUGCAUGACAUUUACUUAAAAGGUGCAAUUGCAUCACUACCAGAUGGACCUGCGUUGUAUUAGCUAGUUGGUGGGGUAACGGCUCACCAAGGCGACGAUACAUAGCCGACCUGAGAGGGUGAUCGGCCACACUGGGACUGAGACACGGCCCAGACUCCUACGGGAGGCAGCAGUAGGGAAUCUUCGGCAAUAGACGGAAGUCUGACCGAGCAACGCCGCGUGAGUGAAGAAGGUUGUCGGAUCGUAAAGCUCUGUUGUAAGAGAAGAACGAGUGUGAGAGUGGAAAGUUCACACUGUGACGGUAUCUUACCAGAAAGGGACGGCUAACUACGUG